GUUGGUGGAGUGAUUUGUCUGGUUAAUUCCGUUAACGAACGAGACCUUGACCUGCUAAAUAGCCGCGCGAUUCGCGAAUCGUGCACGGCUUCUUAGAGGGGCUGUUGGUGGUUAACCAAAGUCAGGAAGGCAAUAACAGG
This 140-nucleotide ribosomal RNA is filed under the name Metazoa environmental sample. RNAcentral's name for it is "partial small subunit ribosomal RNA". It matches the Rfam family "Eukaryotic small subunit ribosomal RNA", at positions 1297 to 1460 of the family's 1831-position model. Lineage: Eukaryota; Metazoa. The record is from RNAcentral.